Molecule: ribosomal RNA, 445 nt
Filed under: uncultured bacterium
Lineage: Bacteria
Description: partial 16S ribosomal RNA
Rfam family: Bacterial small subunit ribosomal RNA
Source: RNAcentral
GUGAGGAAUAUUGGUCAAUGGGCGAGAGCCUGAACCAGCCAAGUCGCGUGAAGGAAGACGGUUCUAUGAAUUGUAAACUUCUUUUGUGCAGGAAUAAAGUGGGUUACGUGUAACCUUUUGUAUGUACUGUACGAAUAAGGAUCGGCUAACUCCGUGCCAGCAGCCGCGGUAAUACGGAGGAUCCGAGCGUUAUCCGGAUUUAUUGGGUUUAAAGGGUGCGUAGGUGGAUUGAUAAGUCAGCGGUGAAAGUUUGCAGCUUAACUGUAAAAUUGCCGUUGAAACUGUCGGUCUUGAGUGCAAAUGAGGUAGGCGGAAUGUGUUGUGUAGCGGUGAAAUGCUUAGAUAUAACACAGAACUCCGAUUGCGAAGGCAGCUUACUGGGAUGCAACUGACACUGAUGCACGAAAGCGUGGGUAUCAAACAGGAUUAGAUACCCUUGUAGUCC